CAGUAGCCGCGGUAAUACGUAGGUGGCAAGCGUUAUCCGGAUUUAUUGGGCGUAAAGCGCGUCUAGGUGGUUAUGUAAGUCUGAUGUGAAAAUGCAGGGCUCAACUCUGUAUUGCGUUGGAAACUGUGUAACUAGAGUACUGGAGAGGUAAGCGGAACUACAAGUGUAGAGGUGAAAUUCGUAGAUAUUUGUAGGAAUGCCGAUGGGGAAGCCAGCUUACUGGACAGAUACUGACGCUAAAGCGCGAAAGCGUGGGUAGCAAACAGGAUUAGAUACCCCGGUAGUCCCUGUCUCUUAUACA
RNAcentral lists this ribosomal RNA (301 nucleotides) under uncultured bacterium. RNAcentral describes it as "partial 16S ribosomal RNA". It matches the Rfam family "Bacterial small subunit ribosomal RNA", at positions 509 to 808 of the family's 1533-position model. The record is from RNAcentral.